GAUGAACGCUGGCGGUGUGCCUAAUACAUGCAAGUCGAGCGAACAGACGAGGAUCUUACUCCUCUGACGUUAGCGGCGGACGGGGGAUUCACACGUGUAUAACCUACCUAUAAGACUGGGAUAACUUCGGGAAACCGGAGCUAAUACCGGAUAACAUGGUGAAACGCAGGGUUCAACAGUGAAAGAGGGUCUUGCUGUCACUUAUAGAUGGAUCCGCGUCGCAUUAGCUAGUUGGUAAGGUAACGGCUUACCAAGGCAACGAUGCGUAGCCGACCUGAGAGGGUGAUCGGCCACACUGGAACUGAGACACGGUCCAGACUCCUACGGGAGGCAGCAGUAGGGAAUCUUGCGCAAUGGGCGAAAGCCUGACGGAGCAACGCCGCGUGAGUGAAGAAGGUCUUCGGAUCGUAAAACUCUGUUAUUAGGGAAGAACACAUGUGUAAGUAACUAUGCACGUCUUGACGGUACCGGAUCAGAAAGCCACGGCUAACUACGUG
Molecule: ribosomal RNA, 497 nt
Filed under: uncultured bacterium
Lineage: Bacteria
Description: partial 16S ribosomal RNA
Rfam family: Bacterial small subunit ribosomal RNA
Source: RNAcentral